CCAAUAGCGUAUAUUAAAGUUGUUGCAGUUAAAAAGCUCGUAGUUGAAUUUCGGGGUUAGUAGGUUGGUCAUGCCUCUGGUAUGUACUGGUCUCACUGAUUCCUCCUUCCUGAUGAGCCGUAAUGCCAUUAAUUUGGUGUUGCGGGGAAUUUGGACUGUUACUUUGAAAAAAUUAGAGUGUUUAAAGCAAGCUAACGCUUGAAUACAUUAGCAUGGAAUAAUGAAAUAGGACGUUUGAUUCUAUUUUGUUGGUUUCUAGGAUCGACGUAAUGAUUAAUAGGGAUAGUUGGGGGCAUUAGUAUUCAAUUGUCAGAGGUGAAAUUCUUGGAUUUAUUGAAGACUAACUACUGCGAAAGCAUUUGCCAAGGAUGUUUUCAUUAAUCAAGAACGAAAGUUAGGGGAUCGAAGACGAUCAGAUACCGUCGUAGUCUUAACCAUAAACUAUGCCGACUAGGGAUCGGAUGAUGUUAAUUUUUUAAUGACUCAUUCGGCGCCUUACG
RNAcentral lists this ribosomal RNA (500 nucleotides) under uncultured Glomeromycotina. RNAcentral's name for it is "SSU rRNA". It matches the Rfam family "Eukaryotic small subunit ribosomal RNA", at positions 591 to 1092 of the family's 1831-position model. The record is from RNAcentral. Lineage: Eukaryota; Fungi; Glomeromycota.